This 681-nucleotide unclassified non-coding RNA is filed under the name Hevea brasiliensis (rubber tree). The record is from RNAcentral. Lineage: Eukaryota; Viridiplantae; Streptophyta; Magnoliopsida; Malpighiales; Euphorbiaceae.
GCUUUAAAAAAAUUAAAAUUUGUCCCCUUCAUUAAGUAAGUGCGAUCAAAGAAUCAUUUGGACAUGUCUACUAUGAUCUUGAACGGGCAAAUGAAGAGGGCAAAACAUUCUUGAAUAUUUCUUGUCUGAUGAAUGCAGCUUAUACCUUAAGUACCAAUCAACAUUGGUGGAAAGAGAUGUUCAAUGAAAGAUUUGGCAUAUGUGGCACGCCUGCUACAGAGUAAUUUGAAUUCCCUUGUUCAUGCUCUUGGUAUUAAUCAGUUUUAUAAGUGAUGUGCAGCACCACCUUCCCCGAGUGAUCCUACAGUGAAGAAAGUUGCAGACAAACUAGCAAGUUUUGUUGCAAAAAAUGGAAGGCAAUUUGAGCAUAUCACACGCCAGAAGAACCCUGGAGACACACCAUUUAAAUUUCUAUUUGACAAGACUUGCUCAGACUACAAGUACUAUGAGUUUCGGCUUGCUGAAGAGGAGAGGGCUCUUUCACAGGCUAGGGAUUCUGAAAUCCCUCCUAGUGGUGCUACAAGUUCUUCAGCUUCUAAACUGCCUCAGCAGCAACCAAAUUACCAAAUCCCUGCCUCAGCUCUAUAUGAAGCCACUGAUGAGCCUGGGGGUCCAAUGACUGCAGCACAAACAGCUUCAGCUGGAAGAACUGCUGCAGGUGAAUCUAGUGCUCCAGGCUCA